Chelonus insularis is the source of this 413-nucleotide long non-coding RNA. RefSeq lists it as uncharacterized. Lineage: Eukaryota; Metazoa; Arthropoda; Insecta; Hymenoptera; Braconidae. The record is from RefSeq and is a predicted model, not a curated record. The transcript is spliced from 2 exons.
CUCCGUUCACACAAGUUGAUAUCGAUUAAUUUUACGUACAACAAUGAUGUAUUUUUAAAAAGUUUAUUCUAAAAAAUUCUCAAGUAAUAAUUACAGCAAAGGCUCGGCCUUUGUUCUGCAGUCUUUUUAAUACAUGAAGGAAGAGGCAGCUUGGAUCCAGGUGUAGGCGGAGGUUUAUUACUAAAAUAUGGCAUUUGAAGAGCUUGACUACAUGUACAUCUUUCCAAUGGAUUAAUAUUCAACAGACAAGCUAUCAAGUCCAGCAGAUCAUCACCAGCAGCCGUGAAAAUGUGUUUUAAAGGAGUACCAGGGAAAGGUUUGAAUUGUAUAAAAUCCGUCAACUCAGUCAUUCCUGGCCACGUUUCUUCCGUGGGUGUACCUAAUGUCUGUAAUAAAAAUUAAUUAUCACUUUA